RNAcentral lists this ribosomal RNA (438 nucleotides) under uncultured bacterium. RNAcentral's name for it is "partial 16S ribosomal RNA". It matches the Rfam family "Bacterial small subunit ribosomal RNA", at positions 355 to 785 of the family's 1533-position model. The record is from RNAcentral.
UAGGGAAUCUUCGGCAAUGGGGGCAACCCUGACCGAGCAACGCCGCGUGAGUGAAGAAGGUUUUCGGAUCGUAAAGCUCUGUUGUAAGUCAAGAACGGGUGUGAGAGUGGAAAGUUCACACUGUGACGGUAGCUUACCAGAAAGGGACGGCUAACUACGUGCCAGCAGCCGCGGUAAUACGUAGGUCCCGAGCGUUGUCCGGAUUUAUUGGGCGUAAAGCGAGCGCAGGCGGUUUGAUAAGUCUGAAGUUAAAGGCUGUGGCUCAACCAUAGUUCGCUUUGGAAACUGUCAAACUUGAGUGCAGAAGGGGAGAGUGGAAUUCCAUGUGUAGCGGUGAAAUGCGUAGAUAUAUGGAGGAACACCGGUGGCGAAAGCGGCUCUCUGGUCUGUAACUGACGCUGAGGCUCGAAAGCGUGGGGAGCGAACAGGAUUAGAUAC